This 452-nucleotide long non-coding RNA is filed under the name Phaseolus vulgaris (common bean). RNAcentral describes it as "long non-coding RNA (PVUL_LNC002412)". The record is from RNAcentral. Lineage: Eukaryota; Viridiplantae; Streptophyta; Magnoliopsida; Fabales; Fabaceae.
AUGCAAUGAUGCUGAAAGCGAGACAAUCAACACAUCACUUUUGCUUUCUGCAACAUUUGCAUCUUGCAGAGCCUUCCCUUCUUGAUCCGAAUUUGCCAUUACAGACUCACAAUAUAAUAUUCAAUAUUACAAAUAAUUUCAAACAACCCAAGGCGAACCUUCGGCUCUUGAUACCACUUGUUGGGAAAAACGGGUAAUUUUCCCACUAAAACAAAACUCUAACAGAGCUACCCGACAAAUAAUAUUGAAUAAAUAAAGCGGAAUAAUAAAAGAGAUAAAGAGGAAAGAACACACCCGAAAAUUGUUAACGGAGUUCGGCCUGUUUAGCCUAAUCUCCGAGCACAGCAAAAACAGCUCACUUUUAUUACUAUGAGAGAAGAUAUUACAAAUUGGGAUAUAUAACAGUGAAGGAGAAGAGUUUAAUUUAUAACCCUCAAACCUCCUUCCCAAAC